RNAcentral lists this long non-coding RNA (513 nucleotides) under Sorghum bicolor (sorghum). Its description in RNAcentral is "long non-coding RNA (SBIC_LNC013844)". Lineage: Eukaryota; Viridiplantae; Streptophyta; Magnoliopsida; Poales; Poaceae. The record is from RNAcentral.
GCCGAUUAGCUUUUCAUUUAAAAUUAUUUUGGACUUGUAAAUUAUGUUAUAAGUUAAAAUUUUGAGUGUAAAUAUUUUUAUUUUUUUUCCUGAACACACGUGAGAGCUUGUAUCAUUGUAUUCAGAAGAAAACAGGAAAGAGCCCGUACAACACACCCCAACAGACCUAAGAUGUUAUAAGUUUUUUAAUUUUUUAAUAAAACCUCGGAUGGACAAAUGAGCUAAACAAAAGUUAUAAUACCUAAAGAGAUAUGCAACUCUGUAUUUGACUACUUUUUUAUAUGAAACCAUUUAGUAUCCACAAAUUUUGUAUUAAAUUUUCACCCUCCGAAAUUCAUUUUUUUCAAAAGAUCAUGAAUAAGAAACAACCUAAACCAAAGUUGUAGUACUCAAAUGGAUGUGAAGCUUUUUUUAAUGACCAUGGAUAACCUGGAAGUUCUAAUUAAAAUUUUUAGAUUUUUAAAAUUUAAAUGUUCUUUGAAAGAUGGAGAAGCUACCCAAACCCAAGCUAUU